RNAcentral lists this transfer RNA (68 nucleotides) under Polinices sagamiensis. RNAcentral describes it as "tRNA-Ile". Lineage: Eukaryota; Metazoa; Mollusca; Gastropoda; Littorinimorpha; Naticidae. The record is from RNAcentral.
GGUAUUACGCCGGAUGAACGGAAAUCAUUGAUGUUGAUUAUUAUGGAAUAUAUAUGUUUCUAAUACUA